RNAcentral lists this ribosomal RNA (1191 nucleotides) under Bacillus sp. (in: firmicutes). Its description in RNAcentral is "bacterial SSU rRNA". It matches the Rfam family "Bacterial small subunit ribosomal RNA", at positions 56 to 1249 of the family's 1533-position model. The record is from RNAcentral. Lineage: Bacteria; Bacillati; Bacillota; Bacilli; Caryophanales; Bacillaceae.
UGCAAGUCGAGCGGACCUCUUCGGAGGUCAGCGGCGGACGGGUGAGUAACACGUGGGCAACCUGCCUGUAAGACUGGGAUAACUCCGGGAAACCGGAGCUAAUACCGGAUAGUAUCUUGAACCGCAUGGUUCAAGUUGGAAAGACGGUUUCGGCUGUCACUUACAGAUGGGCCCGCGGCGCAUUAGCUAGUUGGUGAGGUAAUGGCUCACCAAGGCAACGAUGCGUAGCCGACCUGAGAGGGUGAUCGGCCACACUGGGACUGAGACACGGCCCAGACUCCUACGGGAGGCAGCAGUAGGGAAUCUUCCGCAAUGGACGAAAGUCUGACGGAGCAACGCCGCGUGAGUGAUGAAGGUUUUCGGAUCGUAAAACUCUGUUGUUAGGGAAGAACAAGUGCGAGAGUAACUGCUCGCACCUUGACGGUACCUAACCAGAAAGCCACGGCUAACUACGUGCCAGCAGCCGCGGUAAUACGUAGGUGGCAAGCGUUGUCCGGAAUUAUUGGGCGUAAAGCGCGCGCAGGCGGUUUCUUAAGUCUGAUGUGAAAGCCCCCGGCUCAACCGGGGAGGGUCAUUGGAAACUGGGAAACUUGAGUGCAGAAGAGGAGAGUGGAAUUCCACGUGUAGCGGUGAAAUGCGUAGAGAUGUGGAGGAACACCAGUGGCGAAGGCGACUCUCUGGUCUGUAACUGACGCUGAGGCGCGAAAGCGUGGGGAGCGAACAGGAUUAGAUACCCUGGUAGUCCACGCCGUAAACGAUGAGUGCUAAGUGUUAGAGGGUUUCCGCCCUUUAGUGCUGCAGCUAACGCAUUAAGCACUCCGCCUGGGGAGUACGGUCGCAAGACUGAAACUCAAAGGAAUUGACGGGGGCCCGCACAAGCGGUGGAGCAUGUGGUUUAAUUCGAAGCAACGCGAAGAACCUUACCAGGUCUUGACAUCCUUUGCCACUUCUAGAGAUAGAAGGUUCCCCUUCGGGGGACAAAGUGACAGGUGGUGCAUGGUUGUCGUCAGCUCGUGUCGUGAGAUGUUGGGUUAAGUCCCGCAACGAGCGCAACCCUUGAUCUUAGUUGCCAGCAUUCAGUUGGGCACUCUAAGGUGACUGCCGGUGACAACCGGAGGAAGGUGGGGAUGACGUCAAUCAUCAUGCCCCUAUGACUGGGCUAMMMCGUGCUANAUGGAUGGUAMAAGGCUG